RNAcentral lists this ribosomal RNA (301 nucleotides) under uncultured bacterium. RNAcentral's name for it is "partial 16S ribosomal RNA". It matches the Rfam family "Bacterial small subunit ribosomal RNA", at positions 509 to 809 of the family's 1533-position model. The record is from RNAcentral.
CAGUCGCCGCGGGAAUACAGAGGGUGCGAGCGUUAAUCGGAUUUACUGGGCGUAAAGCGUGCGUAGGCGGCUUCUUAAGUCGGAUGUGAAAUCCCUGAGCUUAACUUAGGAAUUGCAUUCGAUACUGGUAAGCUAGAGUAUGGGAGAGGAUGGUAGAAUUCCAGGUGUAGCGGUGAAAUGCGUAGAGAUCUGGAGGAAUACCGAUGGCGAAGGCAGCCAUCUGGCCUAAUACUGACGCUGAGGUACGAAAGCAUGGGGAGCAAACAGGAUUAGAUACCCCAGUAGUCCCUGUCUCUUAUAA